GACGAACGCUGGCGGCGUGCUUAACACAUGCAAGUCGAACGCUGAAGCUCAGCUUUUGUUGGGUGGAUGAGUGGCGAACGGGUGAGUAACACGUGAGUAACCUGCCUCCUUCUUUGGGAUAACGCCCGGAGACGGGUGCUAAUACUGGAUAUUCACUGGUCUUCGCAUGGGGGUUGGUGGAAAGGGUUUUUCUGGUGGGGGAUGGGCUCGCGGCCUAUCAGCUUGUUGGUGGGGUGAUGGCCUACCAAGGCUUUGACGGGUAGCCGGCCUGAGAGGGUGACCGGUCACAUUGGGACUGAGAUACGGCCCAGACUCCUACGGGAGGCAGCAGUGGGGAAUAAUGCACAAUGGGCGCAAGCCUGAUGCAGCGACGCCGCGUGAGGGAUGGAGGCCUUCGGGUUGUGAACCUCUUUCGCUCAUGGUCAAGCCGCAACAAUGGUUGUGGUGAGGGUAGUGGGUAAAGAAGCGCCGGCUAACUACGUG
This 483-nucleotide ribosomal RNA is filed under the name uncultured bacterium. RNAcentral describes it as "partial 16S ribosomal RNA". It matches the Rfam family "Bacterial small subunit ribosomal RNA", at positions 28 to 507 of the family's 1533-position model. The record is from RNAcentral.